AUGGUGGGGUAUCGGCCUACCAAGACAACGAUCAGUAGCCGGCCUGAGAGGGUGGCCGGCCACAGUUGGAAUGAGACACGGGCCAGCAUCGUACGGGAGACAGCAGCGGGGAAUCUUCCGCAAUGGGCGCAAGCCUGACGGAGCAACGCGGCGGGAACGAAGAAGGCCUUCGGGUCGUAAAGUUAUGUGUCUAGGGAAGAAGGCUUUUGGUGUAAAUAAUGCCAGGAGAUGACGGUACCUUAGGAGGAAGCUCCGGCUAAAUACGUGCCCGCAGCCGCGGUAAUAAGUAGGGAGCCAGCGUUGUCCGGAAUUAAUGGGGGUAAAGGGGGGGUAGGGGGGGGUUUAAAUUAGAUGUGAAAAUUCCGGGCUUAAAUUCGAGAUUGCAUUUGAAAAUAGAUGUUUUGAGGGCAGGAGAGGAAAGUGGAAUUCCUAGUGUAGCGGUGAAAUGGGUAGAUAUUAGGAGGAACCCCCGUGGGGAAGGGGACCUUGUGGAUCGUACCUGACACUGAGGCGCGAAAGGGUGGGUAGCGAACGGGAUUAGAUACCCCGGUAGUUCACGCCGUAAACGAUGAAUUCUAGGUGUAGGAGGUAUCGACCCCUUCGGUGCCGCAGCAAACGC
Molecule: ribosomal RNA, 619 nt
Filed under: uncultured bacterium
Lineage: Bacteria
Description: bacterial SSU rRNA
Rfam family: Bacterial small subunit ribosomal RNA
Source: RNAcentral